AAUUUAAUUUAAAAGCGUUAACGCGAUGGGGAUCUGCUUGUCUUUCGACUGCGGGGACUGUGAUGUAUGCUGCAAUCCGUGCUGCUUGGCUCUGAGUGCCUGUUGUCUUAUUCCCUGUCUGUGUCCAAACGCCUGUGGUCAACAACAGCAGCCGCCUCAAACAGUCCACGUACAUCAUCCGCCUGUAAUUGUCGAACAAGCGCCUCCACCACAAGGAUAUUACCCCCCACCACCGCCCGACGGAGGAUACCCUGGGUACCCGCCGCAUCACGGAUAUCCUCCUCCACCAGACGGAGGAUACCCUGGAUACCCGCCACACCAAGGAUACCCGCAAUACCCACAACCUGGUUACGGAGGUUACCCCCAACCUAGAUGAAAACUUACCUUUAUAAAUAAGAAUGGGUUGCAACAUAUCAUGCCGGCCGUGUUGCUGCUGCUGUAUUCCUUGUAUCUGCUGUGACUGCUGCGGCGAUCCUCCACAAAGAGUAGUUCAUCAUCAUCACGUCAGCUCGCCACCUGCUACCAUAAUAGUUAAUCAACCGCCACCGCCUUACACUGCAAGAAGAUAGCGAAAGAAAAUAAACAAUAAGUAAAGGUGACAAGUUUGGUUUACACCAUCAGUAUACUGUACAAUUUUAAAGUACUAAUUUCUUUUUAUUCUGAACUUGAGGCAUGAUUUAUUCAAAGAUGUAAACAUUCCUAGCUUACGACCUCUAUCCUUUAGUGGACGUAAAUAGUAGAAAAUUCCUAAUUUGUUAACAUGAUACGAAACGUCUUCCGCAUAUUCUUACAAAUUAAUAAUACUACUUCAUGAC
This is a long non-coding RNA of Hyposmocoma kahamanoa, 815 nucleotides long. RefSeq lists it as uncharacterized. The transcript has 3 exons. The record is from RefSeq and is a predicted model, not a curated record. NCBI's taxonomy places the organism in Eukaryota, Metazoa, Arthropoda, Insecta, Lepidoptera, Cosmopterigidae.